Molecule: ribosomal RNA, 426 nt
Filed under: uncultured bacterium
Lineage: Bacteria
Description: bacterial SSU rRNA
Rfam family: Bacterial small subunit ribosomal RNA
Source: RNAcentral
GUGAGGAAUUUUCCGCAAUGGGCGAAAGCCUGACGGAGCAAUGCCGCGUGAAGGAUGAAGGCCUAUGGGUUGUAAACUUCUUUUCUCAGAAAAGAAUUAUGACGGUAUCUGAGGAAUAAGCAUCGGCUAACUCUGUGCCAGCAGCCGCGGUAAGACAGAGGAUGCAAGCGUUAUCCGGAAUGAUUGGGCGUAAAGCGUCUGUAGGUUGUUUAAAAAGUAUUAUGUCAAAGAUUAGGGCUUAACCCUAGAUAGGCAGAAUAAACUUUUAAGCUAGAGUUUGGUAGAGGCAGAGGGAAUUCCCGGUGGAGCGGGGAAAUGCGUAGAUAUCGGGAGGAACACCAAAGGCGAAGGCACUCUGCUGGGCCAAUACUAACACUGAGAGACGAAAGCGAGGGGAGCAAAUGGGAUUAGAUACCCGGGUAGUCC